UCAAGCAGGAUGUUACGUAUGGAACCAGU
Molecule: non-coding RNA, 29 nt
Filed under: Bombyx mori (domestic silkworm)
Lineage: Eukaryota; Metazoa; Arthropoda; Insecta; Lepidoptera; Bombycidae
Source: RNAcentral